CCUACGGGAGGCAGCAGUGAGGAAUAUUGGACAAUGGGCGCAAGCCUGAUCCAGCCAUGCCGCGUGCAGGAAGAAGCAUCUAUGGUGUGUAAACUGCUUUUGUACGGGAAGAAACACUGCUACGUGUAGCAGCUUGACGGUACCGUAAGAAUAAGGAUCGGCUAACUCCGUGCCAGCAGCCGCGGUAAUACGGAGGAUCCAAGCGUUAUCCGGAAUCAUUGGGUUUAAAGGGUCCGUAGGCGGUUUGGUAAGUCAGUGGUGAAAGCCCAUCGCUUAACGAUGGAACGGCCAUUGAUACUGCCAGACUUGAAUUACUAGGAAGUAACUAGAAUAUGUAGUGUAGCGGUGAAAUGCUUAGAUAUUACAUGGAAUACCAAUUGCGAAGGCAGGUUACUACUAGUUUAUUGACGCUGAUGGACGAAAGCGUGGGGAGCGAACAGGAUUAGAUACCCUGGUAGUCCACGCCGUAAACGAUGGAUACUAGCUGUUCGGGGUAACCUGAGUGGCUAAGCGAAAGUGAUAAGUAUCCACCUGGGGAGUACGUUCGCAAGAAUUGAAACUUCAAAGGAAUUGACGG
Molecule: ribosomal RNA, 577 nt
Filed under: uncultured bacterium
Lineage: Bacteria
Description: bacterial SSU rRNA
Rfam family: Bacterial small subunit ribosomal RNA
Source: RNAcentral